AUGGCUGAUGCUUGGGUCUACUUGAGGGGAUCUGUGCUCAGGGAGAGCAUCCCCAUGUCACUAAGGAGACAGCCAUUGUGGAGGUGUGGAGAGGCAACUCCAAGGACUUUCCACAGUCAGUUUUUGUCCCUCCCAGUCUUGCCUCUGUCCUCAGGUCAGAAGCAUGCCAAUGGCAUCAGGAUUAGGACUGUCUCCCCAGUGGGGGGAAAUGAAGUAAGAACAAAGGUGAGAAGGACGCAACUGCACACAGCCAGUCCAGGAGCAGAGGUUUCCUGCAUGAGAGGAUGGAUUGGAAGAGUUUAUAGUGUUUGAGAUUGCCACCUUCUCUACCUCAAAAGUCUCAAGGAAGUGGAAAACUUUUGCUCUUCUCACAGCAUCUUAUUCUCUGGCCUCAAAUGUGCUGCAGCAUCUGCAAAGUCUUCCUUGCAGGGUUAGAAAUAAGAACUCUAUGCCCUUGAAAGGAAGGAAACUUCCUCAAAGCCCACGUGAAUUUCAGUUUGGACCCUGCAGCCUCUGCCUGGUGUUGAGAUAAUGGACUUAGAAAGUUUGAACAUGAAGUUAUGAGUGUUACAUGGGCUCUCUGCAGAAGUUCUGGGGGCUGCCUGUGAUGGCACAGUUGGGCUGAUGGUAACUGAAGCACAGACUUUGUGGGUGAAGGAACGUGAAAAACAGCAUCCAUAAAAUGAGGCUAUUUUACAGUGUUGUUUUUUUUUCUUCCUUCCCCUCAAGGAUCAGAAUCUGGUUUAAGGGAAGCCUAUGGUAAAAUCAUAGAAUUAUAGAACCAUAGAAUGGCUUAGGUUGGAAGAAAUCCAGUCCCAACCCUCUGCUGUGGGCUGGUUGCCCCCCACCAGCUCAGGCUGCGUAGGGCCCCGUUCAGGGCCUUGGGCACCUCCAGGGAUGGGGCACCCACAGCUCUCUGGGCAAAAAUAGAGCUUCUCAGACAAGUACUCCAAAACCAGGCAAUGCCUAUCUGAUGGCAACGUCUGCCCCAGUGUCUUGGUUACAUUCCAAGCAGUAUUUUGUAUGUGAGUGCAUAUGUACCUCUUGCCCACUUGCUUGCAACAUCUAUCUUUAGCCUGUUACAACUUUGGUGCACGUGUUAAUGAAAUCAAAAGGUAUGAAGAAAUAAAGCAAGAUGUAUAAGGAGCCUCA
RNAcentral lists this long non-coding RNA (1152 nucleotides) under Phasianus colchicus (ring-necked pheasant). Its description in RNAcentral is "lncRNA (ENSPCLG00000019132.1)". Lineage: Eukaryota; Metazoa; Chordata; Aves; Galliformes; Phasianidae. The record is from RNAcentral.